RNAcentral lists this ribosomal RNA (253 nucleotides) under uncultured bacterium. RNAcentral describes it as "partial 16S ribosomal RNA". It matches the Rfam family "Bacterial small subunit ribosomal RNA", at positions 524 to 776 of the family's 1533-position model. The record is from RNAcentral.
UACGUAGGGGGCUAGCGUUGUCCGGAAUCAUUGGGCGUAAAGCGCGUGUAGGCGGUCCGGUAAGUCCGCUGUGAAAGUCGGGGGCUCAACCCUCAAAUGCCGGUGGAUACUGUCGGGCUAGAGUGCGGAAGAGGCGAGUGGAAUUCCUGGUGUAGCGGUGAAAUGCGCAGAUAUCAGGAGGAACACCAAUUGCGAAGGCAGCUCGCUGGGACGUAACUGACGCUGAGACGCGAAAGCGUGGGGAGCAAACAGG